ACCAUCUCUCUCCUCAACCUUUCUAUAUCUUAUUUUGCAAAUCGCAAACCUUGGUGUCUAAAGCAAGGAUUGAAAGCAUCGAUUGAAGGCAACAACGAGGCGAUUCUCUUAUUCAUCCUAAAUCGUUACCCUCUGAACUAGAUCUUGACCUUCAAACUUCGAAGAUCCAGAAAGAAUUUGAGGGCUAAGGUAUGAGAUCGGAUUCUGAUCGUGUGAAAUGUAAUAGUUUUUGUUCAGAUCUGGUUUUAGUUCUUUGAGUAAAUUGGUUCUCAGGCAUUUUUUUGGAAGAGGCUUUCUAUUCAGGUAUAGAUCUUCAAUGGAAAGAUUGCCGGAUUGCAAAAGAUCAGCAAGAAUUGCUUUUGAAUGUAAUUCUGCAGGUGCUUCGAAGAUGUGGUAUGGUGUAUGUGGGAAAGAUGGUAUUAAAUUGGAGGCGAUGUGAGAAAGCAUUUGCCUUAUCUUUUUGCUGAACAACCUGACUUGCUUCGCAAACUUGUCACCCAACUUUCACCAUUCAUACUAAAAUCAGGAGUUCCGGUUUUUCGUGUUCAGAAUGAAUCCACUGGAGUUCGUUAUGACAUUUCCUCGAGCAUAUCAU
Long non-coding RNA from Helianthus annuus (common sunflower), 595 nucleotides. RefSeq lists it as uncharacterized. NCBI's taxonomy places the organism in Eukaryota, Viridiplantae, Streptophyta, Magnoliopsida, Asterales, Asteraceae. The transcript has 7 exons. The record is from RefSeq and is a predicted model, not a curated record.